RNAcentral lists this ribosomal RNA (468 nucleotides) under uncultured bacterium. RNAcentral describes it as "partial 16S ribosomal RNA". It matches the Rfam family "Bacterial small subunit ribosomal RNA", at positions 28 to 507 of the family's 1533-position model. The record is from RNAcentral.
GACGAACGCUGGCGGCGUGCUUAACACAUGCAAGUCGAACGGAAAGGCCCUGCUUUUGUGGGGUGCUCGAGUGGCGAACGGGUGAGUAACACGUGAGUAACCUGCCCUUGACUUUGGGAUAACUUCAGGAAACUGGGGCUAAUACCGGAUAGGAGCUCCUGCUGCAUGGUGGGGGUUGGAAAGUUUCGGCGGUUGGGGAUGGACUCGCGGCUUAUCAGCUUGUUGGUGGGGUAGUGGCUUACCAAGGCUUUGACGGGUAGCCGGCCUGAGAGGGUGACCGGCCCCAUUGGGCCUGGGAUGCGGCCCAGACUCCUCCGGGAGGCAGCGGUGGGGAAUAUUACACAAUGGGCGGAAGCCUGAUGCAGCAACGCCGCGUGCGGGAUGACGGCCUUCGGGUUGUAAACCGCUUUCGCCUGUGACGAAGCGUGAGUGACGGUAAUGGGUAAAGAAGCACCGGCUAACUACGUG